This 3487-nucleotide long non-coding RNA is filed under the name Homo sapiens (human). RNAcentral describes it as "HSALNT0045982". The record is from RNAcentral. Lineage: Eukaryota; Metazoa; Chordata; Mammalia; Primates; Hominidae.
AAAAAAAAAAAAAACUAAAUUUAGUAUAAUAGUUGCUAUUUUCUGACCAUGUAUUAUAUGCCAGGCACUGUGUUAGUUAUUUUACAUACAUUGUUGAUAAUUCUCACAACAAUCCUACAUAAUAUGUAUUACUAUCCCCCUUUUAUAAAUGAAGAAACUGAAAGAGAAAUUAAAUACUCUGCCCAGUCACAGAACUGGCAAGUGAGAUUGUAACGCAUUUUACGUUUUGCUUUGAACUGCAAUUUUCAAGCUCUCCUUGUGGCAAGAGAAACUCAAAAAUAAAAAUAAAACUGGCCGGGCGUGGUGGCUCACGCCUAUAAUCCCAGCACUUUGGGAGGCCGAGGCAGGUGGAUAACGUGAGGUCAGGAGUUCGAGACCAGCUUGACCAACAUGGAGAAACCCCGUCUCUACUAAAAAUACAAAAUUAGCUGGGUGUGGUGGUGCAUGCCUGUAAUCCCAGCUACUCGGGAGGCUGAGGCAGAAGGAGAAUCGCUUGAAUCCGGGAAGCAGAGGUUGUGGUGAGCUGAUAUCGCACCAUUGCACUCCAGCCUGGGCAACAAGAGUGAAACUCCGUCUAAAAAAUAAACAAAUAAUAAAAACAGUUCAGUAGUUAGAGUAACCAGGAAUAUUCAUGGAGUAAUUUAAAGGUGCAGAAAGCUAUCAGGUACCAAAACAGCUAUUUUUAUUGGCCUAAUAUUGUGUUUGUGCUUCACAUCAUCAAAUAAUCUUUUGGGUUGGAUCUAGUAUUUUAAAUAGAAGGCCUUGUUAAAGCAGAAUAUGAGUUUGUGAAGGCACACAUUGUUUGUCUCCAGAUUAAUUCAAUGUGUUAGCGAAGUGUCCUGGAGCAGGAUCUCGUGUCAAUCCAUGGGACAACUAUCCUUAAAAGGGUGCUGGGCCACUUUUACCUAUAUGCCUAGGGAACUUUUGCUUGUGGAAAACAUGACCUACUCCCAUAGGCUGUUGUCACCUUAAAUAAUACUUUAUUUUAGGGAUGGAAGAGAUUUGGGGUAUCCUUUUCAUUUGGACUCAUAUGCAUAUGCGUAACCUUACAAUCUGGUAUGUUACAGGAUACCAUUGCAGUUUUCUACCGAGCCCACUAUGUAAUAUUCAAAAUUAUACCUGAAUGUCCUUAGAGAAAAUGUGAUAACCUGGGAAAAAUGUGUAAUAAUAACCUGCUGAACCUUUUAAUAAUGACUUGCCACAAGUAAAAUAUUCUCAUUUACACCUAUACCUAUCUAAUCUACCUGGUUUACAUCCUUCUCUGCGAAACAGCUAGUAAACUAGUGAUUAAUCUUCCUCUUUAUUCUACAACAUCUUUCAGACCAAAGGCCAAAUUUUAUAUUUUAGCAGGUUUCAUUUUAUUGAUAUAUUAUUACUCACUUUUUCAAAAUUGAAUCAUUGCUGUACUGAGAAAUACCAAAAAGUAUAAUAUGAUCCCUGCCUUCCCUUACCCAACAAUUUCCUGGGUUGGCCUUGUCUCCUCCAUGCCUAUCCAGGAAAUUGUUGCAUUCAAGUAAGAUGACAUGUAAGGGCCCAAGUAAGUGGUAAAUUACAUGCUCAAUAUGUGUUUGAAGAGCCAAAGAAGACUUCAGUUGAGGAAAUGAUGUUGAACAGGGUCUCGAAAAGAUGUAUGAGACAUCAAUAGAAAAAGUGAAGAGAGGCAGGGCACGGUGGCUCACGCCUGUAAUUCCAGCACUUUGGGAGGCCAAGGUAGGUGGAUCAGGAGGUCAGGAGUUUGAGACCAGCCUGACCAACAUGGUGAAACCCUAUCUCUACUAAAAGUACAAAAAUUAGUCAGGCAUGGUGGCACGUGCCUGUAAUCCCAGCUACUCAGGAGGCUGAGGCAGGAGAAUCGCUUGAACCUGGGAGGUGGAGAUUGCAGUGAGCCAAGAUGGUGCCAUUGCACUCCAGCCUGGGCAACAGAACGAGACUCCAUCUCAAAAAAAAAAAAAAAAAAAGAAAGAAAAGAAAAUAAAAGAAAAAAAAAAGUGAAGACAAUAUUUGAAGUGACCAGAAGUAAGGGAGGACAUGGACUGGAAAUAAAACAGACAAAGUGGAUCCAAACAGAUAGUAUAAUUUUUGAAAGCCAGAUCCAAGUGUUUGGGCUGCUGUCAUAGACAGUAGGGAGAACAAAGUUUCUGAGGAAGGAAGAAGCUUGAUAGAAGCAAUGUGACGAGGUUUGGACUGACAAGUAUGCAGGAUAGAUUAGAAGGGGAGGGAUUGCACUGGGGACAUGAGAGAAACUACAAAUAAAAUGCAAUUUCCAUUGUGACCAGUAAGUCCUAUUUUCAAGGAGCAUCAGAAAAAUUUUUUUGAACAUCUAAUGUGUGGCAAAUACUAUUCUAGGAGAUAAACAGCCCUGCUCUCAAGUUGCUCACAGUAGAUUUGGAGAAAAUUAUAGUACAAAUUCAAUUGUUAUGGAAGUGAAAGCCCAGGAUGUUGUGGGAGUACAUGGCAAAGAUACUUAAUCCAGUCUUGCUGAAUUGGGUAACUUUUUGAUAACUAUGAUGACUGUCAAAAUGUGAAUAAGAAUUAAGAGAUGAGCAAUGACUCUCUAAGCAGAGUUACAGUAUCCACAAAGCCCUAGAAAGCUUGAGAGGGUAGAGUUUUUUCAGGGGGAUGAGAGGACAUUCAAUGAGAGUAGGAUAUGAGAUGUUAUAUGGAAGGAUGGAGAGAGAUGACUACACACACAGCUAUUACAGAGGGUUAGCAUGCUGUUCUUAGAGUUUGAACUUAACCUAGAAGUCAUGGAAGAAUUUAAACAAUGGGGUUUCAAAAUAGGUAACUCAGUUGGUAGUAUAUAGGAUGAAUUGAGAGGAAGGGAGAAACAUAGAAAUACAUAUACCUGGCCGGGCCUGGUGGCUCACACCUGUAAUCCUAGCACUUUGGGAGGCCAAGGCAGGAAGAUUGCUUAAGGCCAAGAGUUCAACACCAACCUGGCCAACAAAGCAAGACCCUGUCUCUAUUAAAAAAUAAAUAAAAAAGAAAGAAAUACAUAGAACGGUAUGGUGCUGGUGAGAGAUAAUGAAAGCCUUAAACCAAGGUAGAGUCAGUGAUGGCAGAGAAGAGGGAGCAGAUUGGGUCUGGGUUAAAGAGAAUCAGUAGGACCCAGUGAACCAUUAAGAUGAGCAUUGGAGAGAGAAAGACUGUUAACUUCAGGGUUCUAAUUUGGAAAGGGAGGUUAAUGAAAAAUCUCAGGGAAUGUGCAGCUGACAAAGGGUCCUGCCUUUAUAAGUUUUAAAAAUAGAAAAAUUUUUAUAUAUUGUCUUGUUAUUAUAUCAUGUGUUCAAAUUUUUGGUUCCGAAAAUAUAGGUAGACAACUUUCACCUAUGGUCUCUGCAGAAAUGCUUCAAGAAUUGAGCCUUCCCUGGGGCUGUCAUAACAAAGCACGGCAGACUGAGUGGUAUAAACAGAAAUGUAUUUCUCACAAUUCUGGAGGCUAAAGGUCUGAGAUCAAGCUGUCAGCAGGAUCUUCACAUGGUUCUUG